UGUGCCAGCCGCCGCGGUAAUACGUAGGGCGCAAGCGUUAUCCGGAUUUAUUGGGCGUAAAGGGCUCGUAGGCGGCUCGUCGCGUCCGGUGUGAAAGUCCAUCGCUUAACGGUGGAUCUGCGCCGGGUACGGGCGGGCUGGAGUGCGGUAGGGGAGACUGGAAUUCCCGGUGUAACGGUGGAAUGUGUAGAUAUCGGGAAGAACACCGAUGGCGAAGGCAGGUCUCUGGGCCGUCACUGACGCUGAGGAGCGAAAGCGUGGGGAGUGAACAGGAUUAGA
Molecule: ribosomal RNA, 279 nt
Filed under: uncultured Bifidobacteriales bacterium
Lineage: Bacteria; Bacillati; Actinomycetota; Actinomycetes; Bifidobacteriales
Description: partial 16S ribosomal RNA
Rfam family: Bacterial small subunit ribosomal RNA
Source: RNAcentral